AUUCUUAUAGUUUAUACCAAAAUAUAGCUCUGAAAAAGCUAAGAAAUAAUUAUUAAGAAUA
Molecule: transfer RNA, 61 nt
Filed under: Stylochyrus rarior
Lineage: Eukaryota; Metazoa; Arthropoda; Arachnida; Mesostigmata; Ologamasidae
Description: tRNA-Phe
Source: RNAcentral